GUGCCAGCAGCUGCGGUAAUACGUAGGGUGCAAGCGUUAUCCGGAAUUAUUGGGCGUAAAGAGCUCGUAGGCGGUUUGUCGCGUCUGCUGUGAAAACCCGAGGCUCAACCUCGGGCCUGCAGUGGGUACGGGCAGACUAGAGUGCGGUAGGGGAGAUUGGAAUUCCUGGUGUAGCGGUGGAAUGCGCAGAUAUCAGGAGGAACACCGAUGGCGAAGGCAGAUCUCUGGGCCGUAACUGACGCUGAGGAGCGAAAGGGUGGGAGCAAACAGGCUUAGAUACCCUGGUAGUCCACCCGUAAACGUUGGGAACUAGUUGUGGGUCCAUUCCACGGAUUCCGUGACGCAGCUAACGCAUU
Molecule: ribosomal RNA, 356 nt
Filed under: uncultured Microbacterium sp.
Lineage: Bacteria; Bacillati; Actinomycetota; Actinomycetes; Micrococcales; Microbacteriaceae
Description: bacterial SSU rRNA
Rfam family: Bacterial small subunit ribosomal RNA
Source: RNAcentral